Molecule: non-coding RNA, 75 nt
Organism: Myotis brandtii (Brandt's bat)
Lineage: Eukaryota; Metazoa; Chordata; Mammalia; Chiroptera; Vespertilionidae
Source: Rfam
GGCAGUUCUCGGGUGACGCACCCCAGAAUCGGGCUCCCUCCUGUCUGGUUCCAGGUGCAUCGCCUGAGAACUGCA